Molecule: ribosomal RNA, 460 nt
Filed under: uncultured bacterium
Lineage: Bacteria
Description: partial 16S ribosomal RNA
Rfam family: Bacterial small subunit ribosomal RNA
Source: RNAcentral
CCUACGGGUGGCAGCAGUGAGGAAUAUUGGUCAAUGGGCGCGAGCCUGAACCAGCCAAGUAGCGUGAAGGAUGACUGCCCUACGGGUUGUAAACUUCUUUUAUAAAGGAAUAAAGUGAGGCACGUGUGCCUUUUUGUAUGUACUUUAUGAAUAAGGAUCGGCUAACUCCGUGCCAGCCGCCGCGGUAAUACGGAGGAUCCGAGCGUUAUCCGGAUUUAUUGGGUUUAAAGGGAGCGUAGAUGGGUUGUUAAGGCAGGUGUGAAAGUUUGCGGCUCAACCGUAAAAUUGCAAUUGAUACUGGCAGCCUUGAGUGCAGUUGAGGUAGGCGGAAUUCGUGGUGUAGCGGUGAAAUGCUUAGAUAUCACGAAGAACUCCGAUUGCGAAGGCAGCCUACUAGACUGCCACUGACAUUGAUGCUCGAAAGUGUGGGUAUCAAACAGGAUUAGAUACCCCUGUAGUC